UACGGAGGGGGCAAGCGUUGAUCGGAAUUACUGGGCGUAAAGGGCGCGUAGGCGGCCUGUUAAGUCGGACGUGAAAUCCCCGGGCUCAACCCGGGAACUGCGUCCGAUACUGGCGGGCUUGAAUCCGGGAGAGGGAUGCGGAAUUCCAGGUGUAGCGGUGAAAUGCGUAGAUAUCUGGAGGAACACCGGUGGCGAAGGCGGCAUCCUGGACCGGCAUUGACGCUGAGGCGCGAAAGCUAGGGGAGCAAACGGG
RNAcentral lists this ribosomal RNA (253 nucleotides) under uncultured bacterium. RNAcentral describes it as "partial 16S ribosomal RNA". It matches the Rfam family "Bacterial small subunit ribosomal RNA", at positions 524 to 776 of the family's 1533-position model. The record is from RNAcentral.